Micropterus salmoides (largemouth bass) is the source of this 332-nucleotide long non-coding RNA. RefSeq lists it as uncharacterized. Lineage: Eukaryota; Metazoa; Chordata; Actinopteri; Centrarchiformes; Centrarchidae. The transcript is spliced from 2 exons. The record is from RefSeq and is a predicted model, not a curated record.
AUCUCAACCCCAUACCAUAUCGAGCUGAUUACAUGGGUCACAAGGUUCAUUUGGACCAAAAUGAAAAACUGGCUAUGUUUGGGGUCACCCAUGUUUUAGCCAUUGAUGGCUUCAGCAAAAAGGUUGUUGCUCAUUCUACAAUGCCUAUAAAAAACUACCUUACCAUCUAUGAAGAUGUUUUCAGGCCUGCAGUACUUGCCUAUGGUAUGUGGGACCAGGUGCGAGUAGAUCAUGGCAAGGAGUUUUAUUUGACGCUCUUCAUGCAAGAGUUGCUGUCAUCUCACCGCCAUAAUCAGGAGCGAGGGCCUUAUUUACAGACUUCAUCCACAAGG